UACGACGGGGGCUAGCGUUGCUCGGAAUCACUGGGCGUAACGCGCACGUAGGCGGAUCUUUAAGUCAGGGGUGAAAUCCUGGAGCUCAACUCCAGAACUGCCUUUGAUACUGGGGAUCUCGAGUCCGGGAGAGGUGAGUGGAACUCCGAGUGUAGAGGUGAAAUUCGUAGAUAUUCGGAAGAACACCAGUGGCGAAGGCGGCUCACUGGCCCGGUACUGACGCUGAGGUGCGAAAGCGUGGGGAGCAAACAGG
This 253-nucleotide ribosomal RNA is filed under the name uncultured bacterium. Its description in RNAcentral is "partial 16S ribosomal RNA". It matches the Rfam family "Bacterial small subunit ribosomal RNA", at positions 524 to 776 of the family's 1533-position model. The record is from RNAcentral.